RNAcentral lists this ribosomal RNA (406 nucleotides) under uncultured bacterium. RNAcentral describes it as "partial 16S ribosomal RNA". It matches the Rfam family "Bacterial small subunit ribosomal RNA", at positions 30 to 526 of the family's 1533-position model. The record is from RNAcentral.
AUUGAACGCUGGCGGCAGGCCUAACACAUGCAAGUCGAACGAGUGGCGGACGGGUGAGUCAUGUCUCGGAACCUGCCUGAUGGCGGGGGAUAACUCCUGGAAACGGUGGCUAAUACCGCAUACCAUCGGAUGUGCCCAGAUGGGAUUAGCUAGUAGGUGGGGUAAAGGCUCACCUAGGCAACGAUCCCUAGCUGGUCUGAGAGGAUGACCAGCCAAACUGGGACUGAGACACGGCCCAGACUCCUACGGGAGGCAGCAGUGGGGAAUAUUGCACAAUGGGCGCAAGCCUGAUGCAGCCAUGCCGCGUGUAUGAUGAAGGCCUUCGGGUUGUAAAGUACUUUCAGCAGGGAGGCGUUACCUGCAGAAUAAGCACCGGCUAACUCCGUGCCAGCAGCCGCGGUAAUAC